UACGUAGGGUGCGAGCGUUGUCCGGAAUUAUUGGGCGUAAAGAGCUUGUAGGCGGUUUGUCGCGUCUGCCGUGAAAAUCCGAGGCUCAACCUCGGACUUGCGGUGGGUACGGGCAGACUAGAGUGUGGUAGGGGAGACUGGAAUUCCUGGUGUAGCGGUGAAAUGCGCAGAUAUCAGGAGGAGCACCGAUGGCGAAGGCAGGUCUCUGGGCCACUACUGACGCUGAGAAGCGAAAGCAUGGGGAGCGAACAGG
Molecule: ribosomal RNA, 253 nt
Filed under: uncultured bacterium
Lineage: Bacteria
Description: partial 16S ribosomal RNA
Rfam family: Bacterial small subunit ribosomal RNA
Source: RNAcentral